Molecule: non-coding RNA, 878 nt
Organism: Parasteatoda tepidariorum (common house spider)
Lineage: Eukaryota; Metazoa; Arthropoda; Arachnida; Araneae; Theridiidae
Source: RefSeq, a predicted model, not a curated record
UUCGGACCUUGAAGGAAACAACAAUCGCAUUUAUUCCCUUCUUUUGUAGAUUGAUUUAUUUUUGCAACAACGACCAUAAGGAAUCACCACAACGAUCCUUCAAUUCCUGAUGAAGGGGUAUAGGGCUACUUCGGCCUCAGGCACCCCGACUAACCGACAUGACUAGGACUGUAUCUAAAGGUGCCUUUUCAUAAACGAAUGUUGUCAUAGUAAUGUACGCUUCCCACAAAGGAAUUUAGUUCGAUUCCACUUGCGGAUUGCACUUUCUUCGAUUGCUUCUUAGUGAUGCGGUCCCUCGAAUCGUAAAGACAUGGUUCCCAGUAGAACACCAAAGUCAAGCAUCACUGGCUGCUGUCAGUAAGCGGGUAACAUGUGAAGGAAUAAUUUGUCUACAAUUUCUCAUUUCGCGAAAGAAUCAAGUCACGGAGAUUAGAGCCAGUGUGAAUCCAACGGUGAUUCUAUCGUCUUAAUAACUGUUGCUAAGAUAUAAAUUUCUCAGAUAAAAGAGCUAUUAACUAUACUUUGAAAGUAUACUUUCUCACACCACGCAACUACAUCCAAGCCUCAUCUAUCUUUUAACAGCCAUGGUCGGAAUGCAACGUAAUUUUGACCUUGAUAACAUGACGUGGAAAGCUACUGAGCUGGUACCCUCUCUCUAAACUUCCACACCGCAACCAACGAAUGGACUUUCAGUCACGACUGAUUUAACCUGCAUCUUACUGCGUGGCUGUUUCUUCAGCUGUCAGAAUCGAACUUACAGCUCUCAGCUCUCCAACCAGUAUCAUACGUUCAUGUGAAUUGCUACGAAACCAUAAAGGAAAAUUGUAUAUUUUGAUAUCUUCAAAUAAGUUUUGAUAUUGAAUUUAAAAGAAGCAGAA